AGCAGCCGCGGUAAUUCCAGCUCCAAUAGCGUAUAUUAAAGUUGUUGCAGUUAAAAAGCUCGUAGUUGAAUUUCGGGAUCAAUAUGUCGGUCGUGCCUUCGGUACGUACUGGUAUCAUUGGUCUCUCCUUUCUGACGAACCAUGAUGUCAUUAAUUUGGUGUUAUGGGGAGUUAGGACUGUUACUUUGAAAAAUUAGAGUGUUUAAAGCAGGCUUUAGCUUGAAUACAUUAGCAUGGAAUAAUGAAAUAGGACGUUCGAACCUAUUUUGUUGGUUUCUAGGAUCAACGUAAUGAUUAAUAGGGAUAGUUGGGGGCAUUAGUAUUCAAUUGUCAGAGGUGAAAUUCUUGGAUUUAUUGAAGACUAACUACUGCGAAAGCAUUUGCCAAGGAUGUUUUCAUUAAUCAAGAACGAAAGUUAGGGGAUCGAAGACGAUCAGAUACCGUCGUAGUCUU
Molecule: ribosomal RNA, 453 nt
Filed under: uncultured Glomus
Lineage: Eukaryota; Fungi; Glomeromycota; Glomeromycetes; Glomerales; Glomeraceae
Description: SSU rRNA
Rfam family: Eukaryotic small subunit ribosomal RNA
Source: RNAcentral